This is a non-coding RNA of Vicugna pacos (alpaca), 730 nucleotides long. Lineage: Eukaryota; Metazoa; Chordata; Mammalia; Artiodactyla; Camelidae. The record is from RefSeq and is a predicted model, not a curated record.
UGCUCUUCUGAUCUCUUGGGAAAGACGCAUCCAUGGGGAAAAUUCUGAGCUGGCCAUUGAGCUCUGUGUCGUGAGGAGGGUGGCCCAUAUGUUAGAUGUUUGUGGGCAGCUGCAUGGGUACAGGGAUGCCCCCAAAACUCUAGCUGCUUUGAUACGCUUUUUUGAGUAACUGCACGUUUGCACUGUGGCAAAAAAGGAAAACAAAUGACUUCUGCAGGGGUCUGGCCGCAACUAUGGACAGUUUGGCCAGCCACCAAUGCCCAGUUCAAGGCUGAAGCUUGAGUUGGAAAGUUGGAAGAAGAGCUGAAGUUAUAGGGGGACAUGUGGUUUCCCACCAUUCUGUUAGCUUCGUGGCUAGCAGGCAAGAUGGGAGAAUAGAAUAAUAAGUUAGAGACCUGGAAGUUUACAGACUACUGCAAAUUAACAUUCAAGUGCUUACCAAACCUGCUUAGGACAUUAAGAGGUAGACUCUGGGGGAGUGAGGAGAGCAAAAGGGAAGAGGCUGUGAGAUUGAUAAUGAAAUAAACAGAGUGUCCCAUUCUAUCCAACCCUUAAUACAAAGGAAAAAUUUAAAUAGUGAUUAUCCUAGAUUUCUGAUAAUAGAAAAAUAUACCCCAAAACUCCUAUGAGAAAACUUGCAUUCUUUCUCUGUCCCUUGAAGUUGUAAAUCUUAUCACAUCUACAAAUUGUAAACACUACCUACCAUUGCUUGAGGAAAAAAAAAAAAAAA